Theobroma cacao (cacao) is the source of this 432-nucleotide non-coding RNA. Lineage: Eukaryota; Viridiplantae; Streptophyta; Magnoliopsida; Malvales; Malvaceae. The record is from RefSeq and is a predicted model, not a curated record.
AAAACCUAAUCAUUAUCCUGCGAAUCGGGUCCUUGGUAUUUCCUAAUCAUUAUCCUAUGAAUCAGGAUUUUUGAAUUCUUUUCAAUGGCUUCAUACCCGUGCAAUCUCGAAGAAGAAAUGACCAGAUUAGAUGUUUUAUAUUAUGGUGAAGCAGAUAUGAGUAUCGAGAACAUGAUGAAAUAUUGUGCACAAGUGGCAGCCACAAGGGGCUAUGAUGUUGAUGAUUAUCCUGGUUUUGCGAUCGGUUUGAUUACUCCAAUAAAACUUGAUCAAGCUGAGUACUAGAAAUUAACUCCAUAUGCAGAGAAGACUAUAGGCUACUUCAAUGAACAAAAUGUAUGUUUUCUCCUUUCAGUAUCACAUUAAAUCAAUACUUUGUUAUAUGUGGCAAAAUUAAAAUAUAUUUUUAUUGGUUUACGUGCAACAUACAAA